Molecule: transfer RNA, 77 nt
Filed under: Chloroflexota bacterium
Lineage: Bacteria; Bacillati; Chloroflexota
Also listed under: 1 other name
Description: tRNA-Val
Rfam family: tRNA
About the family: Transfer RNA (tRNA) molecules are approximately 80 nucleotides in length. Their secondary structure includes four short double-helical elements and three loops (D, anti-codon, and T loops).
Source: RNAcentral
GGGCGGUUAGCUCAGUGGUUUAGAGUGCUGCGUUGACAUCGCAGAGGUCACAAGUUCGACUCUUGUACCGCCCACCA